Molecule: transfer RNA, 47 nt
Filed under: Primulina tabacum
Lineage: Eukaryota; Viridiplantae; Streptophyta; Magnoliopsida; Lamiales; Gesneriaceae
Also listed under: 85 other names
Description: partial tRNA-Phe
Rfam family: tRNA
About the family: Transfer RNA (tRNA) molecules are approximately 80 nucleotides in length. Their secondary structure includes four short double-helical elements and three loops (D, anti-codon, and T loops). Further hydrogen bonds mediate the characteristic L-shaped molecular structure. tRNAs have two regions of fundamental functional importance: the anti-codon, which is responsible for specific mRNA codon recognition, and the 3' end, to which the tRNAs corresponding amino acid is attached (by aminoacyl-tRNA synthetases). tRNAs cope with the degeneracy of the genetic code in two manners: having more than one tRNA (with a specific anti-codon) for a particular amino acid; and 'wobble' base-pairing, i.e. permitting non-standard base-pairing at the 3rd anti-codon position.
Source: RNAcentral
UGGUCGGGAUAGCUCAGCUGGUAGAGCAGAGGACUGAAAAUCCUCGU